UCAGAGUUGUGCAAAAACUUAUCAACACGUAUAAUUCAGCCAGUAAUUCCAGCUUUGUUUUUGUAAAAUCAUCA
Eremothecium sinecaudum is the source of this 74-nucleotide small nuclear RNA. The record is from RefSeq and is a predicted model, not a curated record. Lineage: Eukaryota; Fungi; Ascomycota; Saccharomycetes; Saccharomycetales; Saccharomycetaceae.